GGUGUGUAGCUCAGGUGGUAGAGCACUUGACUUUUAAUCAAGUUGUCCGGGGUUCGAAUCCCCGCA
This 66-nucleotide transfer RNA is filed under the name Anaerostipes caccae. It matches the Rfam family "tRNA", at positions 6 to 65 of the family's 71-position model. Rfam says of the family: Transfer RNA (tRNA) molecules are approximately 80 nucleotides in length. Lineage: Bacteria; Bacillati; Bacillota; Clostridia; Lachnospirales; Lachnospiraceae. The record is from RNAcentral. RNAcentral also lists the same sequence under 6 other names.